GGCCGGCGGAAGAACAAAUGGACGCGGGUUCUGAAAAAUCCUUCGCAUUCCACGUUUCUUUCAUUCCGUGAGCGAGUCUUCGAGAUUUCUCGCAGAGAGAAAUUUUGAUGCUCGAGUCGAAGAAAUGAUUUCACUCUCUCUUCGAAGUCCGAACUCGUCCGUAAGGCGAUAUCAUCCACAGCGUAAAGCUCUCUCUUCUGGUGAAGGUUUCGCCUGAAGUUGAACACUGAAGUUCAUUUCUACAAAUGCUGAGUGGCUGAUCGGCGUUCUCUUCUCAGUUGUUUGGUUCCAUUGAAGCGGACCUUGAUUCUACUCAAAGCAAUCUGCCAAAAGUCCGAUCAGACCGCGAGGGAAUCUGCCGGAUGGAAAUCGUACUAGUGCAGGAGUACGCUGCUGAUUGGAACUACAGAUGCGAAGAAGCUGUCAAUCUUGUCCUCACUUAUCUGGAUCAUCUCCUCUUUUUUUUGAGAAUGUUAUAGGGAUACAAAUGGAUCCCACUGCGUGAGCGUUUCGAACCUAAUGGCUUUGUCCGCACAUAGGCGUCUUCUGUGGAGAGAUGUAGUCAUGCACGGAUUGUGAUGCUGCGUGUCGAAUCUAUGUGCAGCAUGUAGUGAUUCUGUAAUUGGAUUCCAACCAUGUUGAUACUGAGUGCAGGACGAGUCAAUGUGCAUCGAGACUCUUUCCUCCUCCAAUCUGACCAUUCUAUUUUUUCUCAAGAUCAGCUGAAAUAUGGAUGUCUUCCAACUUCAAGAUUCAUAACCAAAAGGAAUUUCAUUAACCAAAAUGUGACUCGUUUUAGGAUGCAUCAAGCAUUGAAGUUGCAGAAUGGCGAGAUAUCAGAGUUAAGGUAUAUGCCCACUGCAAUUCAUUUUGACUACAAGAUCUGGAUGCUUUAUUUCGCAGAUUUAGUCCGCUGUUUUAUUGUCCACUGCGGAAGCAUGAUCUUCAUGUCAAACAAAGGGAUCGAUGGAGUUCAUUCGUGGCAUAUAUCUACUGACAACAUUUGGGGUGUUCUAUUCUUUUUUUGUGGUUUUGAUAUAUAUGGUUCGCUCAUGUGACAAUGUAACAAAUAGUCAAGGUAGCAAUGGUUUCAUCAUUUGCCGAUGAACUGAUGAUUUAAACGCCAAGGCCAGACUGAAGAUUACUCCUUUCAGAAGCGAGAAAAGGUUCUGAGAGGGCGUGCUUCUGUAACUGAAAUCUGAAAUGCCUCUGAAACUGAAAGCAGAAAUGCCUCUGAAACUGGAAAAACUGGAAGGAAGUCUUCAAAUGACACUGGAGGAAUGAUCUUAGACUCAUAAAAACUGUAGUGUCAGUGGAACUGCCACGUUGGUAGUGCAAGCAGUGAUGAAAUCGAUAUCCCACCAAAAAACACGAUCACUGUCAUCGGCGAAGCUGAUCCUGUGAAGGUCAUCAAGAAGGUGAGAAAGUUCAGAAAAUAUGCUGCAAUUUUGAGUGUAGGGCCUGCAAAAGAGGAGAAGAAAGAUGGGAAGAAGGAGAGCAAAAAUGUCAUAAGUCUUCUCCCAAAGACAUGUUGCAAGUGCGAUGUCUGAUGUGUUAUCACCAAAGAUGCUUAUAGUUACAGCUCCACUAUGUGUUUAGGAAAUUAGAUAUGGGUUUAAUUUAUGGGUAAUUUCUUAUCUAUCUACAUUGGCAA
Molecule: RNA transcript, 1654 nt
Organism: Cucurbita moschata (crookneck pumpkin)
Lineage: Eukaryota; Viridiplantae; Streptophyta; Magnoliopsida; Cucurbitales; Cucurbitaceae
Gene name: inositol-pentakisphosphate 2-kinase IPK1-like
Exons: 10
Source: RefSeq, a predicted model, not a curated record